AACGAACGCUGGCGGCAGGCUUAACACAUGCAAGUAGAACGAACUAGCAAUAGGGAGUGGCGCACGGGUGCGUAACGCGUGGGAAUAUGCCCUUGAGUACGGAACAACACAGGGAAACUUGUGCUAAUACCGUAUAAUGUCUCCGGCCCAACGAUUUAACGGUGAAGGAUUAGCCCGCGUUAGAUUAGCUAGUUGGAGAGGUAAUGGCUCACCAAGGCGACGAUAUAUAGCUGGUCUGAGAGGAUGGUCAGCCACACUGGAACUGAGACACGGUGCAGACUCCUACGGGAGGCAGCAGUGAGGAAGAUUGGACAAUGGGGGAGACCCGGAUCCAGCCAGGCCGCGUGAGGGAUGAAGCCCGUCGGAUUGUAAAUCUCUUCCGGCCCAGAAUAUAAUGACUGUAUACGCAGAAGAAGCCCCGGCUAAAUUCGUGCCAGCCGCCGCGGUAA
This 449-nucleotide ribosomal RNA is filed under the name uncultured bacterium. Its description in RNAcentral is "partial 16S ribosomal RNA". It matches the Rfam family "Bacterial small subunit ribosomal RNA", at positions 29 to 523 of the family's 1533-position model. The record is from RNAcentral.